UUGGGAAUUGUCGGGGUCCCGCUCAAGCGGUGGAGCAUGUGGUUUAAUUCGGUGCAACGCGAAGAACCUUACCAAGUCUUGUCUUCGUUCUGCCCGGUCUGUAAUGGUCCUUUCCCUUCGGGGACAGAGGAGACAGGUGGUGCAUGGUUGUCGUCAGCUCGUGUCGUGAGUUGUUGGGUUAAGUCCCGCAACGAGCGCAACCCUUAUCCUUAGUAGCCAGCUUGUGGGCUGGGCACUCUGAGGAGACUGCCAGGGAUAGCCUGGAGGAAGGUGGGGAUGACGUCAAAUCAUCAUGCCCCUUAUGAUUUGGGCUACACACGUGCUACAAUGGCGUAAACAAAGGGAAGCGAGGGCGUGAGCCGGUGCGAAUCCCAAAAAUAACGUCCCAGUUCGGAUUGUAGUCUGCAACCCGACUACACGAAGCUGGAAUCGCUAGUAAUCGCGGGUCAGCAUGCUGCGGUGAAUACGUUCCCGGGUCUUGUACACACCGCCCGUCACACCAUGGGAGUCAGUAACGCCCGAAGUCAGUGACCGAACCGUCGUGAGGGUGCUGCCGAAGGCGGGACCGAUAACUGGGGUGAAGUCGUAACAAGGUAGC
Molecule: ribosomal RNA, 598 nt
Filed under: uncultured bacterium
Lineage: Bacteria
Description: bacterial SSU rRNA
Rfam family: Bacterial small subunit ribosomal RNA
Source: RNAcentral